This 200-nucleotide ribosomal RNA is filed under the name uncultured bacterium. RNAcentral describes it as "partial 16S ribosomal RNA". It matches the Rfam family "Bacterial small subunit ribosomal RNA", at positions 1300 to 1500 of the family's 1533-position model. The record is from RNAcentral.
GCAGCCUGCAACUCGGCUGCAUGAAGCUGGAAUCGCUAGUAAUCGCGGAUCAGAAUGCCGCGGUGAAUACGUUCCCGGGUCUUGUACACACCGCCCGUCACACCAUGGGAGUUGGGAAUGCCCGAAGUCAGUGGCCCAACCGUAAGGGGGAGCUGCCGAAGGCAGAUCCGAUGACUGGGGUGAAGUCGUAACAAGGUACC